This is a long non-coding RNA of Taeniopygia guttata (zebra finch), 2517 nucleotides long. Lineage: Eukaryota; Metazoa; Chordata; Aves; Passeriformes; Estrildidae. The record is from Ensembl.
CCGUGGCGGCCGGGGCUGGUGCGGGGGUGCUGCCCCUGCUGUGCCCUCAACGUCUGCGUUCGUGCAUAAAAUGCUGGAUAAGGCGGAACCACCUUGUUCAUGUGGUAGAGUGUUGGUGCACAUGCUUGUGUUACCCGUACAUAUUUGGAGGGCUCACUGACCGGCAUCAUGGCAUUGCUGCACAGCAGAAGACUUACAGAAGUACUGUAAAAUCUACAUAGCAUCCCAAGGAAACGAGACCCACAACAUUUAGGUGUGACGGAGAGGAGGUUUUCAAUCGUGUCGAGUACAUUGCACAUUAAGCAUUUCAUGGAAGGCCUAUCACAAGUAGAAGAAUACUUCGUACACACAAGUGGAUUUUCCUGAAAGCUGAAAUGGCAUGAACAGUUUCCAGUAAUGGGAAUGUGACAUAUCCUGAAGAAAAAUUUCCUCAAGACAGGAAAUAAUACAAGAGAGAUGCUUGAAGGCUGCGUCUGAAUAGAAGGAAAACAUGUUUUGUAGAAAACAAGCAGGAGCAAGUGCUUUUAGCUUAUUCAGAGAUGAAUGGGAGCACUUGUCAGAACUGCCUGACAAAUGUGGAUGAUGUAACCAGAAGGAAGUGUAACACCUGAAGAGAUACUGUGGCUUGGAGUUAAUGCUUUUAAAAAGCCUGCUAAAAUAGCUGCAAUUUUGUCCAGUAGAUACUGUCUCUGCAUAUUUAAAAUACCAUCUUUCCAAAAUACUGAACUGUCUUCUGCUGGAAGUGUAGCAGUAAUAUUAGGGAAAGGAGUGCAUGAAAAAACCCUUGAUUAUUUACCCUUUUAAAAUACCAUAUAGGUGCACAGUCUUGCAGAUACUGGAGAGCUGUGAUAACUCGGGAUUGGAACUCACAGGCAGGCCUUGUAAAAAGGGUGAAAGCAAAGACAAUGUCUACAGCUUGCAUCACUGUAUCUGGUGAGGGAGUGAGGAGUUGGGGUUUUAUGAGCUGCUGUUUCAGCAGGAGAAGACUAGUACCACAGCAGUGGAACUGCCCCUUGAGGAAUGCACUGGUAACAGUACUUGCUUGCUCUCUGGGGGAAAGAGGUUGGUAGUGGGAGAAGAGUUAACGUACAUUGCAACUUGGGCUUUUGUCUUGGUUUGAAAAGACAGGUGUCUGCCUAAGGAAGGCAGGAACCUCCCUUGAAACGGAAAAUGUAAACCCCCUCCAAAUUACUAUAAUUUUGAAAUUAAGGGUCUCUCAGGCAAAGAUAUAGGAAUAGGAAUAACAGUUCUUUAUUAGGAAAAAUAAAAAAGCAGUAAUACAAAACAUCACUGAUAGAGUCAGAAUACAACCUGACAACCCUGUGGGAAUCAGGAUGUUGGUAGCAGUCCAAUUGGAUGGUGGCUGCAGUACUUUGGAGCAACAGGUGUGGUUCUCUUGAAGUAGUGAUCCUGUAGAAGGGUGGAGUUUUCCUCUGAAGGUCCAGUGGUGGUGUAGGUGGCCUUGAUCUUCCUCUGGGAAUCCAGUAGAGAAGAAAGCUACUCCUCUGGAAUCCAGUGGGAGAAGGCUGCCUUGUGGUAUUCCAAACCUCAGAUUACAUCCAGAUAGGAAUGCUUGGCUCCUCCCCCUGGGCAGAGCCUCUCCCAAUGAGAUUAUGUAAUUUUGUCAGUCAAGGAAUGACCACUAACAGAAUAUGCCUCCCCAGAGGGAGGGUUGGAUGUGGAAGAGAUAAAGAAAACUGCCCAAUUAACAGAAGAUAACUGCCACACCUGUAAUAGAUAGCAAUAGAAUACACACCCCCAGCUACAUCUUGCAACCUAAGACAGCUUUGAACAGUCACUUGAAAAGUACUGGUGCUGUAAUUGUAAUAGCAGCAUAUUUGCUGUAGUCAGCAAACUGUCCCUUCCACAGAGGAAUGGAGGAUUGUAAGUUGGUCACCAAGGAAGUUUAAAGACAAAAGUUUACCUUGAAGCAUGACUUUCAAGCCUUAUUGUUAGGAAUUCUUUGUAAAGGCAGAAACAUUAUAACAGCAUAAUUCCUACUGUAACUGAAUACUUUUGAAAUCAUCCAAAAUACAUAAAACAGCUCUAUAGUUCAUGGGGUGUACCUGUUCAUCAAUGACGAAUUCUAUGUAUGUACAAUUUUCUGUCAAAAGUAGUAUGAAGUAUAAACAUUACCAGGAACAACGCAUAAAGCAUUGGAAAUGUCAAAAAUAAGUAUCCAUCAUGCUACUGAAGUGGAUGCCAAGGAUCUGACUGAACUCCAUGAGUGCAUUGGCUCACUUGGCGCAUCCUGUGGUUUUCUUACUAAACAGUGGCCUGCUGCUUUGGCUAAAGGCUGCUCCUUUUGAGCAAGGAAUGGUAAAUCAGUCUGUUGAAUAUCAAGAUCUGCAGAAAUAAAGUAGAAAAUAGCUUUCUCUUUAUUGCUUUAAAUAACUUGUUUCUGUUAACAAAUGUUGCUGGGAAUGGUGCGUAUUUUUAUGUGCCAUGUUUUAUACAUGCUUCUGAAUAAAAAUAAGGAUGUUAAAGUCAUGGCUGUUGCACAUCAGCUGUGGAUCA